UGGCUGCUAUUGGCUCCAGCGAGGCGUGACUGGGGUAACUUCUAAGACACUUCACCCCCCUUGGGCCUUCGGUUAUCGAGAAAAAGAAAACCACUUGUGUGUGGCUGGUGCCAGGCGUCUGCGAGGCGUUUUCGUCCUACACGCUAGGAAUUUAUAAAUGUGUGUGCAGAGGUUGUCACUUAAGGGGCUUUGAUGCCGAACUUGACCAUCUGGCGAUAUCGUCUUCGCUGAAGAGAAAUUUAUUGAUUAUCUAUACGUGGUUCAAAAAAGGACGGCCAUCAAUAUACAUGUACAUGUACAGUACAAUACGGCGGCAGCGUCUCAGACCAGCUCAAUAAGUAGAGUAUCAAAGAAGCAGCCAUUGUUUUGUAUACAGAAACAUCACAAAAGCAAAAAUAUGCCAUGGACUGCCGAUUUUUGUUCCAGUAACCACAGCAUACACACCAUAAGAAGAGCCAGCUAAUGAGAUGUCAAUAAAUACGUAC
RNAcentral lists this small RNA (485 nucleotides) under Histoplasma ohiense. RNAcentral describes it as "hypothetical lncRNA". The record is from RNAcentral. Lineage: Eukaryota; Fungi; Ascomycota; Eurotiomycetes; Onygenales; Ajellomycetaceae.